Molecule: long non-coding RNA, 1924 nt
Organism: Ahaetulla prasina
Lineage: Eukaryota; Metazoa; Chordata; Lepidosauria; Squamata; Colubridae
Exons: 5
Source: RefSeq, a predicted model, not a curated record
CUCUGGUUCCUCUUGGUGCCAGAUGGAUGUGUAGAGAGAAUUGGCUGAAGAAGUUGAACUGUGGUAGCUGUAUAUAAGACGGCAAAAUCUAAUCAGUGAACCUGUCAUCCAGAAUAGUUGUAUGUAGUUAAAGUGGAAUUGAAGUACCUCAUUGACAGAGAGCACUAGGAUUUCCUUGUCUGACCUGUUUGUUUAUUUGUAUCCUGGUUUUCUUAUUUUUACAAGUAACUCAAGGCAGCAAGAACAUAUUAAACACACCUUUCUCCUCCUGUUUUACAACAAUCCUGUGAGGUGAGUUGGGCUGAGAGUGUGACUGACUGAAAGUCACCCAGCUGGCUUUCAUGACUAAGGCAGGAUUUGAACUCAUGGUCUUCCACUUCCUAGCUAACCAUUAGACCAAACUAUCUUUUGUUCAUAUUUGUCCUUUGGGGAUAUCUUUAGAUAGAAUGGGAUAAAUAUUCUGAAAAAGGGCAACAAAGAAUUUUAGAAGGGACAAUGUUCAUUCUCAGAACACCUGUCAAUAUGAAAUAAGAAAACUGAGGAAGAUACAUGUGUUGAUGACGGAGUAUAUUCAAGCAAGGAGGGUCUUAUUCCUGUCAAUGCAAGCACUCUGCCAGUAGUCAGUAAUAGUGCUAUUCAAAAUUUGCAGGUACAGCUUAUAAAAUGUUUACAAUAUCUGAAAAAACCCUUUGUUGUAGUUUUUAGAUUCUCUAAUUAGGCUGGGGGGAGGGAAUGGUCUGUAAAUUAAGUGGAAUUUUGGAGAAUGAUUGCCAAUUUAAGCCUAGUCUGACAUUGAAGUCUUCUGAAAUGAUGAUAUGGGCAGUGGAAAAGUGUAAUUGAAUACUCCUUAUGUAAUUUUUCACUUUUCCCCAAAUUUCAAAAACACAUGGUGAAGGGAUGUUUGGAAAUAUAUAGAAGUUAAUGAGAAGCAAUUUCUCUCCAAAGUUGAGAAUAGUUAUUUGUGUAAGGUUGUAAGAUGGGUCUAUUGACAUCUUAGUAUUUAGAGUGGUUGAAAUAUGGAUGUUCACACCAGCACGUCUCCCUCAAACAAUGCUAGGAACGGUUGAGGAUAAUGAUUUAUAUCACAAAUAAAGAGAUUAUUUGUUGACCAAACAGAAUCAAUUAGAGGUCUGGCUAUUUUACGUGUUGCCACUAGAGGUUCUCUCAAAUUGUCCAAUCUUCAAUAAUAUCAACUUGCUCUGAAUCUGGCAGGGUACCGAAAGAGUCUCUCCCCCGCAGAACGUAAUCUGUGCACUGUCUUGCUGUAGGUAAACAGUUUUUGCAUAGGAAGUAAUCUCUUUAGGAAGGGAGGGGAAAAGAGCUAGUGUCCUUGAGGUUAUCUGAAGUCAAGUGGUCAUAUUUAUUCUUUAAAGUGGCAAUACUCCCUCAGCCAGAUUCGCUCAGGAGCAGGCCAAGUUCCUCUGAGCACAAUAUGUUUUAGAAAGACUGAAAAAGUAUGAAGAAAAGGCUUCCUUUUAAACAACAUAUUGGGAAUUGUGAUCUGCAUAAAUUUACAUGUCCAUCGGAGAUUCGUUUUUCACUCCUUCCCACAGAAGUAAUCAGUUCCCUGACCAUUGCUUUCACUUUUCCUUGGGUUGUUAAGUCUGGCUUCCCUAUUGACUGCAAAAGGUGACAUGAUCCCGGCACACUGUAACCAUCAUAAAUAUGAACCAGUUACCACGCAUUUGAAUUUUGAUCACAUAACCAUUGGGAUGCUUCAACAAUCAUGCUACCCGUUGAAACCUCCAUGUGUAUCCCCGGUUCCUUUGGCUUGCUGGCAUAGUAUAAAAACAGACCCAAAAGGAACCAGGGAGAUAAAGAUCAGCAGCUUCCGUUUCCGCUUCGGCACAUUCCACAGAAUUCUUCAAAUCUGCAGGUUUCCUCAAACCUUCAAGCUGAAUCUAAAUAUGUAUGUGUGUAUAUA